UCUUACAGUGAAAAAGUUGUCCUAGUUUGUGCUGAUUCUUGAUAAAAUCUGAUUUCAUAUCAUGCAUGUGAUAUUUAUGAUCUGAUUUAGAUGUGAUCUAAAAUUAUGAUCAAAUCUGAUGUAAUUUAAAUUAGAUCUAAAUUCAAGCAUAUAUGAUAUGUGAUUAGAUUAGAUGAUCCGAUUAGCAAGUACUUGGAAUGGAUUGAUUGCUAGGCCAUC
Molecule: long non-coding RNA, 219 nt
Filed under: Elaeis guineensis (African oil palm)
Lineage: Eukaryota; Viridiplantae; Streptophyta; Magnoliopsida; Arecales; Arecaceae
Description: long non-coding RNA (EGUI_LNC076259)
Source: RNAcentral